This 73-nucleotide transfer RNA is filed under the name Gammaproteobacteria bacterium RIFCSPHIGHO2_12_FULL_43_28. Its description in RNAcentral is "tRNA-Thr". It matches the Rfam family "tRNA". Rfam says of the family: Transfer RNA (tRNA) molecules are approximately 80 nucleotides in length. Lineage: Bacteria; Pseudomonadati; Pseudomonadota; Gammaproteobacteria. The record is from RNAcentral. RNAcentral also lists the same sequence under 1 other name.
GCCGACGUAGCUCAGGUGGUAGAGCAACUGAUUCGUAAUCAGUAGGUCCCGAGUUCGAGUCCCGGCGUCGGCA